CUGGACAGUACUGACGCUGAGAUGCGAAAGCGUGGGGAGCAAACAGGAUUAGAUACCUGGUAGUCACGCUGUAAACGAUGUCGAUUUGGAGUUUGUUGCCUAGAGUGAUGGGCUCCGAAGCUAACGCGAUAAAUCGACCGCCUGGGGAGUACGGCCGCAAGGUUAAAACUCAAAUGAAUUGACGGGGGCCCGCACAAGCGGUGGAGCAUGUGGUUUAAUUCGAUGCAACGCGAAGAACCUUACCUGGUCUUGACAUCCAUAGAAUUCUGCAGAGAUGUGGGAGUGCCUUCGGGAACUAUGAGACAGGUGCUGCAUGGCUGUCGUCAGCUCGUGUUGUGAAAUGUUGGGUUAAGUCCCGCAACGAGCGCAACCCUUAUUCUUUGUUGCCAGCGAUUUGGUCGGGAACUCAAAGGAGACUGCCGUUGAUAAAGCGGAGGAAGGUGGGGACGACGUCAAGUCAUCAUGGCCCUUACGACCAGGGCUACACACGUGCUACAAUGGCGUAUACAAAGGGAAGCGAAGGUGCGAGCUGGAGCGGAUCUCAUAAAGUACGUCUAAGUUCGGAUUGGAGUCUGCAACUCGACUCCAUGAAGUCGGAAUCGCUAGUAAUCGUAGAUCAGAAUGCUACGGUGAAUACGUUCCCGGGCCUUGUACACACCGCCCGUCACACCAUGGGAGUGGGUUGCACCAGAAGUAGAUAGCUUAACCGCGAGGGGGGCGUUUACCACGGUGUGAUUCAUGACUGGGGUGAAGUCGUAACAAGGUAACCA
This 770-nucleotide ribosomal RNA is filed under the name uncultured Enterobacteriaceae bacterium. RNAcentral's name for it is "bacterial SSU rRNA". It matches the Rfam family "Bacterial small subunit ribosomal RNA", at positions 729 to 1502 of the family's 1533-position model. The record is from RNAcentral. Lineage: Bacteria; Pseudomonadati; Pseudomonadota; Gammaproteobacteria; Enterobacterales; Enterobacteriaceae.